RNAcentral lists this ribosomal RNA (366 nucleotides) under uncultured Wolbachia sp. Its description in RNAcentral is "bacterial SSU rRNA". It matches the Rfam family "Bacterial small subunit ribosomal RNA", at positions 1049 to 1414 of the family's 1533-position model. Lineage: Bacteria; Pseudomonadati; Pseudomonadota; Alphaproteobacteria; Rickettsiales; Anaplasmataceae. The record is from RNAcentral.
CUGUCGUCAGCUCGUGUCGUGAGAUGUUGGGUUAAGUCCCGCAACGAGCGCAACCCUCAUCCUUAGUUGCCAUCAGGUAAUGCUGAGUACUUUAAGGAAACUGCCAGUGAUAAGCUGGAGGAAGGUGGGGAUGAUGUCAAGUCAUCAUGGCCUUUAUGGAGUGGGCUACACACGUGCUACAAUGGUGUCUACAAUGGGCUGCAAGGUGCGCAAGCCUAAGCUAAUCCCUAAAAGACAUCUCAGUUCGGAUUGUACUCUGCAACUCGAGUACAUGAAGUUGGAAUCGCUAGUAAUCGUGGAUCAGCAUGCCACGGUGAAUACGUUCUCGGGUCUUGUACACACUGCCCGUCACGCCUGGGGAAUUGA